RNAcentral lists this small RNA (461 nucleotides) under Pongo abelii (Sumatran orangutan). Its description in RNAcentral is "processed transcript". Lineage: Eukaryota; Metazoa; Chordata; Mammalia; Primates; Hominidae. The record is from RNAcentral.
ACGGCACCUUUCCUAAAUACCAAGCCGGUGGGAAAAAGCUUUCUAUUUGUUUUCGUCGCUGGUCACCCGGGCCACCUUUGAGAUUACACAACUGAAAAUAGAUCACAACCCUUUUGCAAAAGGAUUUCGGGAUAAUUAUGACACGAUCUACACCGGCUGUGACAUGGACCGCCUGACCCCCUCGCCCAACGACUCGCCGCGCUCGCAGAUCGUGCCCGGGGCCCGCUACGCCAUGGCCGGCUCUUUCCUGCAGGACCAGUUCGUGAGCAACUACGCCAAGGCCCGCUUCCACCCGGGCGCGGGCGCGGGCCCCGGGCCGGGUACGGACCGCAGCGUGCCGCACACCAACGGGCUGCUGUCGCCGCAGCAGGCCGAGGACCCGGGCGCGCCCUCGCCGCAACGCUGGUUUGUGACGCCGGCCAACAACCGGCUGGACUUCGCGGCCUCGGCCUACGACACGG